GCUUACCAUGCAAGUCGAACGAUGAAAGGAAGCUUGCUUCCUGGAUUAGUGGCGAACGGGUGAGUAACACGUGAGCAAUCUGCCCUUGACUCUGGGAUAAGCGUUGGAAACGACGUCUAAUACCGGAUACGACCCUCGGAGGCAUCUCCUGGGGGUGGAAAGAAUUUUGGUCAAGGAUGAGCUCGCGGCCUAUCAGCUUGUUGGUGAGGUAAUGGCUCACCAAGGCGACGACGGGUAGCCGGCCUGAGAGGGUGACCGGCCACACUGGGACUGAGACACGGCCCAGACUCCUACGGGAGGCAGCAGUGGGGAAUAUUGCACAAUGGGCGAAAGCCUGAUGCAGCAACGCCGCGUGAGGGACGACGGCCUUCGGGUUGUAAACCUCUUUUAGUAGGGAAGAAGCGAAAGUGACGGUACCUGCAGAAAAAGCACCGGCUAACUACCUGCCAGCAGCCGCGGCAAU
Molecule: ribosomal RNA, 463 nt
Filed under: Actinomycetales bacterium 701
Lineage: Bacteria; Bacillati; Actinomycetota; Actinomycetes; Actinomycetales
Description: bacterial SSU rRNA
Rfam family: Bacterial small subunit ribosomal RNA
Source: RNAcentral